CUUGCCUUACCUGAUUUCAGUUUCUUAUGAUGCCUAUAAAGUCAGUAUUUGUUUAGAUGUCUUUCACACAAGCUGCAUUUUAUUCCCAUUUUUGCCAACAUCAAUUAUGCACAUAUAGGCCAUUGCCUACUGCUGUAUCCAUUUUGGCUUUUCCUGGUCACAUAUAGGUCUCUGUUCAGAGAGUAAACCAAAUGUUACUAUAAAGCAGGGCUUGACAAAGUUGUUUGGAAUCUAGGAGCCAGCUAGAAAAGUUAG
Pelobates cultripes (western spadefoot toad) is the source of this 255-nucleotide non-coding RNA. NCBI's taxonomy places the organism in Eukaryota, Metazoa, Chordata, Amphibia, Anura, Pelobatidae. The record is from the annotation of a GenBank genome assembly.